GAUGAACGCUGGCGGCGUGCUUAACACAUGCAAGUCGAACGGGAAAUAUUUCAUUGAGCCUUCGGUGGAUUUGAUUUAUUUCUAGUGGCGGACGGGUGAGUAACGCGUGGGUAACCUGCCUUAUACAGGGGGAUAACAGUCAGAAAUGGCUGCUAAUACCGCAUAAGCGCACAGAGCUGCAUGGCUCAGUGUGAAAAACUCCGGUGGUAUAAGAUGGACCCGCGUUGGAUUAGCUAGUUGGUGGGGUAACGGCCCACCAAGGCGACGAUCCAUAGCCGGCAUGAGAGGGUGAACGGCCACAUUGGGACUGAGACACGGCCCAGACUCCUACGGGAGGCAGCAGUGGGGAAUAUUGCACAAUGGGGGAAACCCUGAUGCAGCGACGCCGCGUGAAGGAAGAAGUAUCUCGGUAUGUAAACUUCUAUCAGCAGGGAAGAUAGUGACGGUACCUGACUAAGAAGCCCCGGCUAACUACGUG
Molecule: ribosomal RNA, 478 nt
Filed under: uncultured bacterium
Lineage: Bacteria
Description: partial 16S ribosomal RNA
Rfam family: Bacterial small subunit ribosomal RNA
Source: RNAcentral